GACGAACGCUGGCGGCGUGCUUAACACAUGCAAGUCGAACGGAAAGGCCCCUUUGGGGGUACUCGAGUGGCGAACGGGUGAGUAACACGUGAGUAACCUGCCCUUGACUUCGGGAUAACUUCAGGAAACUGGGGCUAAUACCGGAUAGGAAUCCUUGCUGCAUGGUGGGGGUUGGAAAGCUUCGGCGGUUUUGGAUGGACUCGCGGCUUAUCAGCUUGUUGGUGGGGUAGUGGCUUACCAAGGCUUUGACGGGUAGCCGGCCUGAGAGGGCGACCGGCCACAGUGGGACUGAGAUACGGCCCAGACUCCUACGGGAGGCAGCAGUGGGGAAUAUUGCACAAUGGGCGGAAGCCUGAUGCAGCAACGCCGCGGGCGGGAUGACGGCCUUCGGGUUGUAAACCGCUUUCAGCAGGGGCGAAGCUUGUGGUGACGGCACCUGCAGAAGAAGCACCGGCUAACUACGUG
This 465-nucleotide ribosomal RNA is filed under the name uncultured bacterium. RNAcentral's name for it is "partial 16S ribosomal RNA". It matches the Rfam family "Bacterial small subunit ribosomal RNA", at positions 28 to 507 of the family's 1533-position model. The record is from RNAcentral.